CAGCAGCCGCGGUAAUACGUAGGGUGCGAGCGUUAAUCGGAAUUACUGGGCGUAAAGCGUGCGCAGGCGGUUUUGUAAGACAGGUGUGAAAUCCCCGGGCUUAACCUGGGAACUGCGCUUGUGACUGCAAGACUCGAGUACGGCAGAGGGGGGUGGAAUUCCACGUGUAGCAGUGAAAUGCGUAGAGAUGUGGAGGAACACCGAUGGCGAAGGCAGCCCCCUGGGUCGAUACUGACGCUCAUGCACGAAAGCGUGGGGAGCAAACAGGAUUAGAUACCCUGGUAGUCCACGCCCUAAACGAUGCCAACUAGGUGUUGGGGAAGGAGACUUCCUUAGUACCGUAGCUAACGCGUGAAGUUGGCCGCCUGGGGAGUACGGUCGCAAGAUUAAAACUCAAAGGAAUUGACGG
Molecule: ribosomal RNA, 409 nt
Filed under: uncultured bacterium
Lineage: Bacteria
Description: bacterial SSU rRNA
Rfam family: Bacterial small subunit ribosomal RNA
Source: RNAcentral